Molecule: long non-coding RNA, 15061 nt
Organism: Passer domesticus (house sparrow)
Lineage: Eukaryota; Metazoa; Chordata; Aves; Passeriformes; Passeridae
Exons: 3
Source: RefSeq, a predicted model, not a curated record
CGAGCCGCAACGUGCGGGUCUUGCCUUCCCCCAGCCACUGCUGGCUCCAGCCUCAGCAGCGCCAGGACAAAUCAAAUCCAAGUGCUUUGGUACCGAGACAGCACAGGCGUAUCGGAGCCGAGCCCGCUCUGUCCGCCCGGCGAGGCUUUCGAGGCGGCCGCGGUUUCCCCGCCAGCCUUAUCCCGGCGUCCUCGCCCCGCCUGCAGCGCGGCCUGGCACGGCUGUCCCUAGGAAACGGGUGCUAGGCCCGGUGUGCUGCUCUGGCUCCCGUCGGCGAGAUCUCGACCCCGACGUGUCGCAGAGACGAGGAGCUCGACGGCCAUUUACCGCGGCUGCCCGGCUGAGCGCCUUCAGCUCGGCGCUGCUCGCGGGGCGGCAGGGAGCGCUCCGGGCGAGCGCCUGCAGGCAUCGCUCAGGCAGAGCGGCUCGCUGGGGAGAUUUACAAGGAGCUGGCGCCUGCGAAAAAUAACGAUUAGAAGCCACACUACGCACCAAGCAUUCACUCAGGGACCCGGUCGAGGACGAUUUUCUGUGACAGGAGGUAUUCUGAUCUACGUCCUGUAGAGCUGGUAAAGACAGAUGCCAUGUUUGUCAUAUCUCAAGAGGCUUCUUAAGACUGUCCCAUGAAGGCAGAGAAAUGCAAGAACAAUUAAGUCCAGUAUAGAUCAAUAGCAAGAUGACAGCAGUGAUAGUCUUCAGAAUAAAAUCUUUUAUUCAUCAAUAAAACUAUAGUUUACAGUAGUAUUUUCUAAAUAAAUUAUAGAAUUUCUCUUUUACAAGAAAUAAAGUAAAAUCAAAAAUAUUUCAAGAACAAUAUAUGUACACAACAUAAGGCCUUGUUAUAAAUAACAUUUUUAUCUCCUUUUUACCAACAGUAAAAGUAUCUUUAGAAGCUCAUUUUGAUAUGGUAUGUGCAGAGAUUUGCCCUAACCCUCAUACAACAUCAGUUCCAGUUUCCACUGAUGUGGAACUAAGCAAUUAGAAAAAUGGGUCAGAAAAAUGAAAUUGAUUUUAUUCACCACUGUGUUUGUUUUUAAAUAGGUAAAGUAGGUAAUAGAUUUUGCUUGUGCAUAGUUACAGAAUGCAUGCAAAUGAAACCACUAGAGAGCUGAUAAGAAAAUAUUUCUUCAGAGUCCAAAAAAUGUGAUUGGCAAUAUUGUAGAAAGCAGCCUGAAUACACAGUUCUUCACAGUUGAGCAAGCAACAGCAGAUGACAGCAGAGUGUGGAAUGUUUCAUGUCAUUUUUGUCAAGUCCAUCAAUUCUUUCUAUGGUUCAAAUAUCCUGACACUUCUUAGAAUUAGUUCUGUUGAUUAUUACUCUUUGUCUAUUAGGCUCAGCAGAGUCUUCCUUCUGAAACAAGGAGUGCAGAAAGUGCUCUUCAUUAACCAUGGUCACUUCCCUUAGUUUUACUCUUCAUGUAUUCUUUGUUACUGGGAAUACAGAAAUGACAAGUUAAGAGUUGUGUUUACUUGUUUUCUUACAGAAUUAUACACAGGGUAACAUUUUUCUUCCCCUAAACAGACUGCAGUACAAUUUGGCAGUGAUUCUCUUAUGACCAUGAGCCCUGAUCAAAAGCACUGAGAUCUCUUGUACAACAGCAAACCCCUCGGUGUUUUGCAGGAAUUGCAGUACACUUGUAUUACAUGAACUAGAACUACUUGCUGCAAAAUGCUGAACACUGUGGAUAUCAGAGAAACAUAACAAUCUGAGAUCACUCAGCAGUUAACAACAGCUUAUUUUUAUCUUGCAAAACUGUGGUAUUCACUACUUAAAAAGUAACAGUCUUCAUAUGUCACGAAUAUCAGUGCUCUCAGUUUUCGCAUGACAGUCUUCCCCCAGAUGAAAAAUCAUACCUAUCAAAAAACUUUCAGGCACAACUAAUGUUCAAAAAAUACCAAAACAAAACAAAAACAGCAGCAACUACAAACAAAACAAAACACACAAAAAAAAUCCCAAACAACAACAACAACAAAAAAACCCAAACCCAAAAAACCCCGAAAUAAUUAAUAAUCUUAAUGGAUUACAGUUUUCUAAGCUACCCUCAUGUCAUAGAAACAGCUGGUCACUUCUUGGCAUCCCUGUAGAGUUAGAGAUGAACUGAAAAUAAACUCUUUUUACUGAACAUUUUGUUAUGACAACUCAAACUGAAGUGAUAGCUGAAGAAUAUAUUUCAGUAAACUGAAUGCAUCUCAGCUGACAUAUCCAAAAUGAAGCAAGACACAAAAUCAAAACAAAGGGAUCUGUAAUGACCUUACUCUAAAACCUCAUUAAAACACAUUACAAGGAUGUAAGGUUCCAUUUAUUAAACAGAUUUUUAAUGUUUCCUUUACAUUAUGCUUUUUGAUACAAGCACUUAACUAACCUUUAAAUAGUUUGACAACUAUAGUCUAACUAUGAUUAUGAACAAAAAAUCUGAAGGCAUUUAAGUUUAUAUCAGAUAAAGGUAACCAGUAGAUUUAAAUCAAUAUUUUUGUUAUCACUUCUAGCACUACCCCUUGAACCUUGAGGAAUAAUAUUUCAGUAUUGUUCCAUGAAAACUUUAAAUUCCCUACUGUAUUGUGCACCAGUGUUAGGGUGUUCAUAAUCACUGAUGCCAUUGAGCACAGUGCCAGUUUCUCAGGUGCUGUGUGCUCGCUCUCUCAGGAACUGUGGUCUGGCAAGUAGAGUUGAUGGACAUAUUAGCACCUGAAUGUGCUAAGGCAGUAAAGUACUUACAAAGUACAGAACAAUUUAAUAUGUGAAGUGAAAUUGUUGGACAAGUGAGUAAAAUUAAAGAAAGUGGUAUUCUAAAAUCAAUGUGAUGUAAAGCUAACAGGAACUUUUAAUUAAUUUUACUGCUUUUCACUAAAGUGGCUGUUGGUAUGCAGGACAUGAUCCUCUGGGCAACAUUGUAUCCACUACACAACUUUUGGGGUUUCAUUGAUUACAGAUAAAGGAAACUUUUUUUAAUUUUUUUUUUUUUUUAAUAAAAACGGAGUUUGGCUGUAGCAAUUUGGUCCAAAAUGAUAAAUAAUGCAUAAAUGACAUUACAGGAAUCAUUCCUAUAAUCGUUGCCUGAGAUGUCUCACACUCGGUAUAUAACACAAUAAUGUAUAUAUUUAUGUAAUAAAAUACAAUGUUUGAGCCUACUUGAGGCAUUUUGUUGCGGAGCAUUUUUGUGCUCCAGUUCUCUUUCCAUGGAUAUGUUUUUGAGCUGAUUUAUUGCCUCUUACAGUGUUUUAAAAGGCCCAGGCAUGAGAACAUGUAGUUCCGUGAUAAUACGUGCUGGCAUUUUAGCACUUGGCUUCCUCAGGCAACAUAUUGCUCGUGAUCUGAAUUGGUACCUUUUUAAUCGAAUCAAGCACCUAAUUCCUGUGUCUGAUUUUCAUGCAAGGGUAACUAAAAUGUUCUUUCUUACAUAUGUUUCUUCUGCAAGAACAGCUCUGCCAAACUACAUUUGAGUGCUCAUUUGUUUUUCACCUCCGACCAGGUUUCAGUUUUAUGGGACACAUAGGCCUCAUUUUUUCCUCUUCUGUUUGGGAUCAUGCAUGGAUGGAUACAGGGAAAACAGAUAAAACAGAGGAAAUGAGCUGUUAACUGUGCUGCAUAAAACAAGUUGGUUUGCCCCUUUCAGCCUUGAACAGCUUUCUGUUUUGAGGAGAGUGCUUGAUUGACUCUACAUGCGCACAUAACAUUUUAAAGAUUAUUAUACUUUCAGGGGAAAGAAAGGAUGCCUGUAAGUGAGGAGGUCUUAAUUCCUUUCUCAUAAUUCCAGUAUUCAGGUUCAGUCUACCGAGCUUUUCCACCAGUAUCUUCAGAGGAGAUGGUGAGGCAGAGAAACUGAAGUUUCCAUAAAAAGAGCAACAUACCAAAAUUUGAGGUAUGCUGUGCAGUGUGACUGCACAACUUCUAGCUUGGUUUUUUUUUUUAUGUAUUCUGCCUGGGAAUGGCUUUAAUUUCAGCUGCACUUUUUAUUAUUCCACAAAGAACCUUGAAGACAACUACAUCAUUAUUAAAAUUUAAUUGAAAUUAUGGGACAGAGUACAGAAGAAAAGGAGUACUGAAGAGUAAGAAGAGUCAGAAAGUUUUGACAGCUUCUAAACAAGCAUUUUAUAGGCCAAUAAUUGUUAAUCAGCAUACCUAUGCAUCUACAGUGGCUUUGAAAGACAUAAUUAAUCUUCAAUAUUAUUUUAAGACUUCAAAAUCCUAAAAUAAAAUUGGCAUUUGGAAAUAAACCACAUCAUAAGUAAUUUUAAAUGUAAUAGUAUAAUCUAUGCAAUCCUUCUGACACAAAUCAUAGCUACACUAAUCAGGUUCUAAAUACACUGAGCUUGCUCAUCACUACAAUUUUUCCAUUAUUUUAUUUUACUGAAGCCCUUCUCAAUCCAUAUUUUCAGUAGCAGUGACGUUUAAAUAUAAAUUUUAUGAGCCUUUCCUUUAACAGCAGGAAGCAAUGCUGCAUUUUCAUGUGAAAACUUCUGUACUACUCAAGAAUUUUGCAUAGUAGUUAAAUACACAGAAGUAUUCUGUAAGUGAAAAAUAAUUCAUUAAUGAAAUCCUAUAGGCAGGAUCUAUGUUUAUUUAAGAUCCUAUAGACUGGACACAUAUUUAUUUAUUAAUUUAAAUAUUAUAUGUACCACCAGAUGACUUAACAUAUGCAACAUCACAAUGGAACAAAUGUAAACAUUUUUCACUGCUGUUUACAUGCAUGUCCUUUUUCUGUUGGAAGUAUAAGGGAAAUCAAUCACACUACUUGAAUUAAAUCAAUUAAAUACCUAAGCCUUACUACUUACUUACUGAUUUUACUGACAUUGUAGUACAGUAUACCAGCUAUCUUUAUAAAUAAUUUCAUGGGAAGGCAAAGAAAACACAGUAGGAUAGUUUAUAAUAACAUGUGUUGCUUUUUUAGCUAGAGAAAACUCAAUUAAAAAUGUGAUACUUCACUGCAAAACAGAAGGAGUAAGGUGACUUUUAUUCCUUACUUUUUAAGUGGAAUUAUCAUUUUUAAGGCACUCCAUAGUGAUGCUGGACUAAGGUCUUCAGGAUUGGUCGCACUUGUUAUGGAACUUUUGCAGUAUUGGACUUCUGUCUUUUACUAAUCAAAUUCCACAGAACACUGAGACACUGACAACAGCAUUUGUUGACGAUGCCUGAACUGAAACCAAUCUUAAGGGCUUCAAGGGAAUUUUAAAAGAGAUUAAAUUUAUUUACAGAGAAAUAAGGAAACCCUGUUUUGUGGAUUUCUGCAUUAAAGUGCUAAAUGGAAGUGUGUUACCUUCUCUGUUUCUGGCUUAUAUACAAGAAACCUGUUUAUCUCAGACAAUCUUUUGUUUCCAACUGUCUGAUCUAUCAUUGUAUUACAUAUUCAUAAAAGCAAGAAGACUUUAAUGUUUGAAUUUAUGCAGAGAAACAUUUCAAAUUUAGAAGCUUCUCCUGUACCUCCUAUCUUUUAUUUAUUAUUUAUUAUUAUUUUUAUUUAUUAUUUAUUCCUUCUAUUUGAUUGAUAAUUAAAAUUAUUUAUAUUAAUCAGUAUCAUAACUAUGUUACUAGAAUAAUUUGAAAUAAUUUAGAUUGUCUUAUACCUACUGCUCAUUGCAGAUGAUGCUUAGUCAUAUUCUAGUCAUAAAAGCUAGAUUUCUUAAGCUAUUAUCUGGGUUAAAAGUUUUAUAAGAAAAUAAACCAAUGUAACUUAAAAGUAAACUUGAUUUGAAAAUGUACUUAAUGGUGCUUCUCAGAGUUGCAGGUGAAAAAAAUGCUAGUUUGAACUUGGGUCUUUUAUCAGUAUUAAGGAAUUAUGAGCCCAGACCAGCAUUCAGUUGUGAACCCAAGACGUCUCUCUACUUGUGUCCUGGAACAAGAAUUCUUGUAACCUGCUGUUACCAGGUACAUUCUCAGUUUUGACAUCAGCAGCAUAGUGUAAGUUUGCUUGGAGUUCCCUUAAUAUAACACCUCAAAUCCAAUACUAUUACCUGUAAGAGGAAUUAUUUUUUUUUUUUACAACUUUUUUUCUGUUCCACCUCACCUUACUCGACUAUCAGAAUUUCCACACAAAACUGUUCAGACAAUGCCAUUUUAAAGCUGCUCUUUAUAGUAGAUUAACACAAUGUCAUUUUAUGACAAUUAUUUUCUAUACAUGGGACCAAAAAUUCAUAGCUCUUACUUCACUGGUGGACUAAAAUUUGUCCAAAAGAGUUAGCAUUUCAAAACAGGAGGCAAAGACAUCAAAGGAUUAAUGGUGCCCAAAAUUAAGCAAGUUAAGGUUUUUUCCUUAAAAUAUAUAGUGGGUAAGACUUCAGCAGCCUUCCUUGUGGUAGAAACACAAAGAUUAUGGAUCACAGGGUUAAAGGAAAAUCUGCAAAUGCCAUUUAAAACUGUUUUUCUCCUUGCAUUUUGAUCUUUUAAAAGUACAUCUUGUAACCUUUCAUUGAUUUGCUUUAUUUUUGAGAUGUCCAUUAGAAAUGACUAGCCUGUUCCUAGUGUUCUCAAAAACAUGCCUCUUUUCCUUCUAACAUGCAUUUAAUCAUCCUUCUAUAAAAGCAAAAUUGUCUUCUGGCCAGCACUUAUACUUUAGUAUAAUCAGGUUUUCCUAGCCACAGGCUAAUUGUUGUUUCCAGGUCCACUGAAGGAUAUUACGGGGCAUCAGGAAGUAUCAGAUUAGUAGAUGGACAGCAUACUAUUCCGUUUCUUCCACAAACACCUCAGGAUGCAUACAGGGUAUAUGUGAAUAAGUUAAAGCUCACUGCCACAACAAUCUCAAAACAGUUAAGUAGGCAUCAAUACAGGGUGUGGGACAUGAGACAGAAGGCAGGGGUAAGUAACUUCUCAAGAUGAGUUUGCUUAAGAAGUAACGUGUGCUUAGCUGUGGUAUCCAAUUUCCUUGAAGACAGCAUACCGAGGGAGUUAAGCCAUUAUCUUGUUAUUGAAUUUUGAAUUUGUUUUUCUUCAAGGUGCUGAGGAAGGGUGCUGCUAGUUCCAAAAAGCAUCUGAUUCUCUCCACUUAAGACCUAGUUAUUCUUCCACACCUUUGCUCAGGGGAAUAAACAGUGGGUAUUUGUAUGACAUCCAAAGUUGGGUUUUAAUUAUUCUUCUGUUGAUAUUCAUCAGUGGAAUACUCAUCUACUUGUUGCAGUCUCUGAGACAUAAUAGUAAUGAAUGUUCUACAAGCUGAAAACUAACUAAAGUGAUGAUUAUCACACCUGAAACUCAUACAGACACCAUUACAAAAGGUGUUACCUGUGCCUGUCACUAGAUUUUCAGAGCAUUCCACCAUCCAUCCUACAGACUUCAAAUUGAAAAAGAAAUACUUCACAGUGCUAAGCAGUAUUAUUCUUAAAGAAAACCAUUGCUUUAUAAACUAAAUUCAAAAGCUAUGAAGAAGAAAUUGUUUCACCGUUUAAAGGGGGCCAAAAGAACCACAGAUCAGCACAGGCUAAAGGGACCAUAAGAGGCUAUCUAAUUCAGCCUUUUGCAGGAAAGGCAGCCUGGAUGAGAUUAUUGAGCAUCACUGUCCAGCUGUGUCUUGAAAACCUCCUGUGAUGGGGAUUUUACUGCAUAUCCCUGGGAAGUUGUUCCAGUGAAUCAUUUGUCAUUAUAAAAUCACACUCAUUGUAAAUAAUUUUCCUUGAAUCAUUCUCAUUGUAAAAACAGUCCUUUCUUACAUAGAGAGGAAAUUUCCCUCACUACAACUUGUAUCCACUGCCUCUAGAGAAAAGGAGGUUCUCAAUACUAUCUGUAGUCAUGCCUUUAAGUUGUGGAAAACUGUGUUGAGGUCCCUCCUCAAAAUUCCUGAGAAAGACCUAACUUUUGGAUAACUUUUGGACUGAAAAGACCUAACUUUUACAGUCUGUCUUCAAAUGUCAAGUUCUCCCCAUCCUUGACCGUCUUUAUGGCGCUCCUUUGACCCAUCUUCAGUCCAUCCACAUCUGUUUUGGAACUGUGGGGGCCAGAACUGGACACACUACUCCAUGUGCGGUCUGACAAGUGCUGGUGAAGCGGGAUGGUCACACCUCUCUCUGUUCAUAGUGCCCCUGUGGAUGCAUCUGAGGAUCCACUUUGCUCAGUAGCUGCAGCAGUGCACUGCUGACCUGGUGUCUGUGUGCUGUCUGCUGGGACCCCUGGGCUCCUCUUGGCAAGGCUGUUCCACAGCUCAUGGCUCCUAGCCUGGCUGGGCUCCGGUUUUGUGCUCCCAGGUGCAGGACCCUGCACUUCCUUGGUUGAACUUCACACAGUUCUUGUAGACCAGUCUUCCAGCCUGUUCAUAUCUCUGAAAGGUGGCUCUCCCUGCUGACAAGUCCCCCUCAACACCCAGUUUAGUGACACAGCAAACGUGGUGAGGGUGUUUUUGGUCCCAUCCAGAUCAUCCAUGGAGAUGCUACAGCAUGGAGCCCAGUACUGAUCCCUGGGGGGCCCCACCUGGCACAGGCUGCCAGCCUCAGUAAAACAUGUUGAUUACCUAUGAGAUGAUUCCUGCUCAUUUCACAGAUCACUGCCAUGCCGUCUAUAUUUGACAUUUGUCUAGCUGUGGGACACAUGAUACCUGUCAAAUGCUUUACUGAAGUGCAGGCAAGCAACAUGCACUGCUUUCUCCAUAUUGACUGAAUAUGGUAAUUUGUUUUAGAAAGGUGAUCAGGUUAGCCUGGCAUGAUUUGUCUGUGAUAAAUCUGUGCUGGAUUUUCCCAGUCACUUGCUUCACUUAAUUGGUAAUAGUUGCUAGGAGGCUUGUUCUGCCACUUUUCCAGGGGCUGCAAUAAGGAUACUAGGACCUCUUUUGGGCCAUUCUUACCGACAGGUAUGAGAUCUGCCCUCUUCCAGUCAUCAGGGAUACCCCCUGAUCUCUAUGAAUUUUCAGAAAUAAUCGGACAGUGGCCCUGCAACAAUACCAGCAACUUCUGCUGACACCCUGGGGUAUAUUCCCUCCUGGGCCUUGCAUUUAUGUGGGUUGAGCACUUGCAGGCCAUUACUGGUGGGUCAACACGUGUGUUGUAGCUGUUUGAUCCUGGGAGCUACAGUCUGGCUCCUGCCACUCCACUGAAGGUACUGAGAACCUUUGUCUUGCCAGCAUUAUCUGUAACUUUUUUCCCUGCCUGGUCUAGUAAUGGGCCUGUGUCUUCCCUGGGCUUCUGCUUAACUGCUGCCUUAGUUUGCAAUGCAAGAUGUAACCAAAAGUAUGUAUUCUAUCACCAUCUGUUAAAACUAGGUGGUGAAGUGUUCUUUAUCUCUUCCAUGACUCAUCCCUGAUAACUCCCUCGGGAAGGGGUGGGGGUGGAUAUCUUCUGCUAAUGGGCCAUCCAGCCUCACUGCAUGACUGAUAAAAUUUUAUCAUCCCACUGUGAGAUGCUCCGCCCAGGGGGAGGAACCAAGCAUUCUACAUCUAAUUGACCAGUGGUACUUGCUACUGUUUUGUGUCAGUGGAGGCAGGACAGACAACAACUCCCCUAAGUGUGCUGGACUAUUAAAUUAGUAGCUAUUAACUGAGUACUAUACUCAACACUUAAGCAUUGCUGACUAAGAAGAAGGAAAAAAACAUCAGUGGCACAGCCUACAGAAAAAGGGAAUAUGACAAACAUUUCAUCUUGAUGUGAGAUCAGACACAAACAUGUUUCAUCUGAACACAAGAAUUUUUUUUUUCCUGGACAGAUAAUUACUAAAACAACUUUUACAAGGAUGUGGCAGAGUUCCCAUUGCUGGAGGUUUUUAAGCUGUGGUGCAAAAGAGUGUUAGAUAACUUAUCUAGGCUCCCUUUUGCGCAACAAAUUGGACUGGAUAAUCUCCUGAGGCUCUGUCAAUCUGAGCUGUUUUAUGAUUCUAAGAUAGUAUGGAUUUCUUAAGACAAAGAUCAGGUAACUCUAGGGAUAAGAAAAAUAAAGAAUACAAUAAAUUUUAUCCAGAAAGGAAACAACCAUGUAUCUGUUAGAACAGAUUUUCCUAUAUUAGAAACUGUUAGAAACAUGAACAAACUUCCCUCCUUUGAUUCUUCAUCUCUGGUACAAUUCUUGCCAUGAGAGUCAAGGGAAAAUAUUACUAAAAUAAUGUCAGAAUUGUUUAUGAUUUAUGAAAAUAAGCCUUUAGGAAAAAAGGCCAAGCUUAAAAUACCUGUCCCUGCAUUUAUACUGACAAUUUCAGAACAGCCUAAAAAAAUUAGAUACAAAAAACUUCACUCAACUGGACCUUGAAUUGGGUGCCUACUGCCUUUAUAUCUGUGGAAUUUGAACUAUGGGUACGAAGAGAACAUUUGAAACACAGGUGAUAUGAAGACAACAAAAUAUAGACUUGACUUUAUCUUUCAGCAGUCAGAUAAAUUGCUUACUUGGAACUGAAACAACAAAGAAAAGAUACAUUUUUAAUCAGCUGUCACAAUUGAACAACCCUUAACAUGAGAAGAGGGGGCCACUGAUAUAUUUCACACUGAGCUCUACUGGCUUAAAAAUCAGUGGCAUAAACACAGAACUUUCCAACUUGAGAAAUUUUAAUCUCUGUAUUGUGAAGUAUUCUACAUGAAGAUGAAAGAUUUUAUUAUUGCUGUUGAUUUGGGGUAUUGGAGGAUCACACCUCCAAUAGAAUAUAACAGAAAAGAUCUCCUACCAUUAGAGAAAAAUGAAAAGGUGUUUUAGCAUACUACAUUAUUAAUUCAAUAGUUAAUAUGCAUAUAAAUUCUUUAUCAGCUUCCUUUGGGAAAUCAUACCUAUGCAAACUUACGCAUUUUCAUACAAAAAAAUACCUCAAUAAACCUCUGAAUUGAAGUUUAGCAGGUAUUUUAGUCACUUACUGAGCCUGAGUCAAAGCAAUUACAAGCACAAAAGCCCAUUAGAAACAGUUUGUCAACUUACUAAAUAGACAUCCAAAACUGAAGCAUUAUCAUUUUCCAUUUCCAAUGUGCUCUGUUCUGAAGUCAAAUAGAUGGCACUGUCUCCCAAAGUGAAUGUUGAACUUGAAGGUAACCCCUUACUGCAAAGAGAAGGGAGAGUACAGUCAACCAAAAGCCCAAGUUACAAAGCUUAGUCAUAACUGAAAAUUUAAAAGUAAGUUCCUCUAUUAAACAUAGAAAUCUUCAAAAUACUUGGAAAAAAUGAAUGAAAUAAAUAAAUAUAGAUAUAUUGACAAUGGCUGAAUAACUGGAAGCUCAUAUUUGACUAAUUGUACAAUUUAUUUUUGCAUUUACUAAAAUUUUAUCAGAAAAUAAUGCUAUUCCUGAACUUCAAUAUUUAUUUAAUGAAUGAAACUAUGUCACAGUAAAUGUCAUAUAAUUUCAUUAAUCUCAAAAUGCAUUACUUCCACAUUAUAAGUGGUGUAAAUUUUGGCAGCAUUUUGUAAUUUAAAAUAGUAAGCAAUUAAGCACAUUGUAACAUUAGUAACAUUGGACUUCUCCAUGCAGACACAGUUCACUAGCAGCCAUAAGUUCAGAAGGGAAAUUGGGAGAGCAAUAGUGUAUUGUAAUUAGUGAUCACACCUAUGCAAGGAAGUGAUGUAUACAGAGCAGGUGCACUCUACUUUAUUCAUUGAUUGAUUUUUUUGUUCUCUGCCUUACAGAAAUAAUGUGAAACUGCAAAUGCACCUCCACAGAAAUUUCACUUUGUAACACACUUGGUCAACAAAGCUGAAACUCUCAAAGGUGUUCUAAUGGAGUCAGAUGUCCCUUAUCGCAUAUCUUACUAGCUGCCAGAAAUUAGGCUCCAGGCUGCCUUGAAAACUCAACUGUCAGUUGUGCAGGGACAUAUUUUAGAUGUUCUUACCUGUUUACUGACAAGGUGAAAAGGAAAAAUUCUGAAUUAUAACUUGGUAUGGAAACAUGGUUACAGCCAUCUGUCCAGAUAUGACAAAUUUCCCCCUCCCUUUGUACUAGUUUAAGUAUAUUUCAGAUGGGAUAGAACUUCAGAAAGGGUAAAACUAGCAUGCACAAUUCAACAUGCAGAAACUAGCAUGUAAAAUUGAGAUUCAAAUGCUCAACAAAAGAAUGAAUCAAUGUCAUCCUGGAACAGAGCUUUACAUUCACCACAUUACAAUGUUCCUUUUAUCAUAUAAUGCACUUGACAUUUUUUAAAAAGCAAGACUAUUUCUCUUGUACUAGGAUGACCCAGGUCCCAUUGACUUAGCAUUAUUGUCAUAUGUGUAACUUGAAUUCUAUUGAGUAGCGUAAGAGAGUAAAAACAAUGCAUCAUCAUAGCUGCAUUUAUUGCCAGUUUUAAUGCAGCCUGAUUUUAAUGAGACUGAUAAGGCAAAGCCAUAUUGGGGGUGGCACAGGAGAGAACAAGUGAAAUCCCCACAUACACAGUGUUUCAGAAAGAGUAAUUCAGAGGAACAGAGUUUUAAUAGAGUUUCUACAGUGCACUGAAUUCUUAUCGUUAAUUCUUAGGUUGAAUAAGAAAAGCCAAGCAAAAAAACCCCAAAUAACAAAAAAACCAAAAAAAAAAAAAAAACCAAAACCAAAACCAAAACAAAACAAAAAAACCCACCAACAACAGCAACAAAAAACCACACAAAAAAACCCCAACAAAACCAAAAAACCACCACCAAAACCUAAAACCAAACAAACAAACAAAAACAAAACAACCAACCAAAAAAACCCCAACAAAACCCCAAAAAACAAACAAACAAAAAAAAACCCCAAACACUUUUUACAGGUACUUUCUCUCAUUCAGUAAUGACCAGCCAUAAGGAGCAUGCUCAGCUAUGUUGUUGCCCUUCUCUGGCUAAUACAUUCUAUUUGAUCUUGGUCUUAAUUAAAAAAAAAAAAAAAAAGGCAAAAAUAAUCCCAUCAUUACAGAACUGGGAAAGCUUUGUUUAAGCCACAAUUACAUGUUGUUUCAAUCAUAGUCAAAUUUUCUUUCAUGUAGGGAUACCCCUAUUGUCUCAGUGCAUCUCUUCAUAGCAUUUGAGCAUUUAAGCCUUUUUCUUCCACCUGACUGCUUAUUUUUAUGAAGCAUGUGUGAAUUUAGUCCACUAUCAAUCAGAUUCAGACAAAGUCGUCUAAGCUUCAGAAUCUAAUAGUAGUGUGUGGACAGACAGAACAUUGAAAUUUAACACACAAAAGUUUGUUUUUGUAGAACACCAACUGACAAAAGGCGUGCUUAAUUGUCCUUACAACAGAAAUACCUGUAAAUCCCUGUCACUGGAAAAAAGUGGCAGAACACCAUUUCAAAGUCUGGAUGCUUCAGGAAGCUUGACUGUGUAAGUGAACAAACCCACAAUGCCUCAAAGCCUUCCAAAAUUCAAAGUGGUCGCCACCAAGAAACAGCAACACAAAGGUGCUGAGCACUCUCAAGGAGAGAGGGGCCUGAUCGCCUUUCUUAUGUUAUAAGCCAUUUGCCUCUCCUUGGGGAAGUAUUACAUUGGAUAACAGAAACAGAGGGUAAUCCUGAAGAAAAACCCCAACCCAAAUAGAAAAUACAGUGUGUGCGUCAAGGUAUCCAAAAGUAUUAUUGCUCUCUUUUUAAUGAGGAAAAUAAUACCAUCUGUUUUCUAAGUGGUAUGAGCACGUACUGCUCAUUAGUAGGAGUCAAGAAGAUGUACAAAUAUCACAUUAUUACUAAGCACACAGGACUCUUCUCCUUUAUUACCUUAAACCAGAAAUUUCUGUCAGGUUACAAGCAAAUUAAUGUACUCUCUACUUUGUGCUAUGUUACUUUGAAGAGCAAUGAAAAAGCCUGAUGAAGAAGAUGCCAAGCUGUAAUUCUAAUAAAUAACAAAGCAGCAUGUCAUAGUCAAUUACUUAUUUAAAGAUUGAAAGCAGGCCCACAUUUGUAAACAAAUCUUUAAUUCAGGCUUUGUUUCAAAGACUGCUCCAAGCUUUCUGUUUAUCAGAGACAAAUGUUAAAUACUGCAUCACAUAAUUUUCUAAUAUUCAAAAGAAGAACUCUGGCAAGAAAAACUUCAGAUCUGAAUCUACAAUUCAGUGCAUCAUUGUAGCAUGGGUUUUUUCGGUGGGUUUAUUUCCCUGCUAGCUUUUAUUAUGAGAGGACUGAAGUUCCUUCAGUGAACCAUAAAAACAUAAGUAAAACUUCAGAUGUAUAUAUUUUUUUAGUGUCAGGAAGAAGGAAUGACCUCUCUGAACCGAUGCCAAAAGAAGUGGGCACAAAACAGCAGAUGCCCCGAAUCUUAUGGAAAUUAGUUCAUGCUUUGCAGCUUUCUUAACUCCUAGCUAUGACAGGGAAGCAAAUCCUCAUGAAUUGUACAUACUAAGAUUGUGACACACUCACUACUUAAUGAGAAUUAAAAAGUGCCUCCAGACCCUAGCUGAAGGGUCUACACAGUUGGUAAGCCCCUAUGGCAGAUCUCUUGGCUACAGUGUAGGUGUUCUGGCAGAAGAUAAAGAGAGCCACACAUCUGUGAAUGCUGGUACCAUGUCUGCUGUGUCAGAGAAUGUGUCCUCUUGUAAAGAUGAACUCCAUAUCUGGACUGCAGACACUAACAAUCUGAUUUUUUAAGAUACACAUGCUAAUCACAUAGCUGGCAACAUGUCCUACAUUAGAGAUUAUUUCAUUGACUGCAUCACUACUGGAAAGUAAAUGAGUCUAGAUGUGCAAUCAUAGUAGACCUGCUAUUUUGUAGUAUGUUUACAGUACAAUAUAAUACUCAUAGGUCUUCUUUACAUUUAAUUUUUUUUAAUUAUUCAAUUUUUAAUUUUUUAAAAAAAUUUAACUGUUUAGCAAAAGAAUAUUUGAAAUGCUUUAAAUCUUAACUCUUUAUUCAAACAACUUCACCAUUUGCUUUUCCUGACUGAUGCUGAUACAAAGCAGUUCUGUAGUUUUAUUUGAUGCUUAAAGUACUCUAUAACUUUAUUUCUAUCAAAGAAAAGAUUUUGUGAAAGAUCAUGAAUAUUGAAGUCCUACAGAUAACUUGACACAAGUUGAAGUGAAUGAGCUCUAUUUCUACUAAUGCUUAUUCAUCAGUAAUUUUAUUUCCUAAAGCUUGUGCAGAAACAUUUUUGUUCUGCAAUAAAAACUUCAUCUUCAUUACACCCCAAAACAUGCUUCAUUCAAUUUUUUAUAGCAAACCAUCAGACAUAUGGAAGAUGCCACAUCAGUGAAAUUUGCUUCAACAUAAUGGAAGUGGAAGCUGUAAAUAUCACUAUCAUCAAGUAAUGCU